GAUGAACGCUGGCGGCGUGCCUAAUACAUGCAAGUCGAGCGAACAGACGAGGAGCUUGCUCCUCUGACGUUAGCGGCGGACGGGUGAGUAACACGUGGAUAACCUACCUAUAAGACUGGGAUAACUUCGGGAAACCGGAGCUAAUACCGGAUAAUAUAUUGAACCGCAUGGUUCAAUAGUGAAAGACGGAUUUGCUGUCACUUAUAGAUGGAUCCGCGCCGCAUUAGCUAGUUGGUAGGGUAACGGCUUACCAAGGCAACGAUGCGUAGCCGACCUGAGAGGGUGAUCGGCCACACUGGAACUGAGACACGGUCCAGACUCCUACGGGAGGCAGCAGUAGGGAAUCUUCCGCAAUGGGCGAAAGCCUGACGGAGCAACGCCGCGUGAGUGAUGAAGGUCUUCGGAUCGUAAAACUCUGUUAUUAGGGAAGAACAAAUGUGUAAGUAACUAUGCACGUCUUGACGGUACCUAAUCAGAAAGCCACGGCUAACUACGUG
Molecule: ribosomal RNA, 497 nt
Filed under: uncultured bacterium
Lineage: Bacteria
Description: partial 16S ribosomal RNA
Rfam family: Bacterial small subunit ribosomal RNA
Source: RNAcentral